GCCUGGGUGGCUCAGUCGGUUGAGCAUCCGACUAUGACUCAGGUCAUGAACUCGUGGAUCGUGAGUUCAAGCCCCACGUCAGGCU
This is a transfer RNA of Felis catus (domestic cat), 85 nucleotides long. It matches the Rfam family "tRNA". Rfam says of the family: Transfer RNA (tRNA) molecules are approximately 80 nucleotides in length. Their secondary structure includes four short double-helical elements and three loops (D, anti-codon, and T loops). Further hydrogen bonds mediate the characteristic L-shaped molecular structure. tRNAs have two regions of fundamental functional importance: the anti-codon, which is responsible for specific mRNA codon recognition, and the 3' end, to which the tRNAs corresponding amino acid is attached (by aminoacyl-tRNA synthetases). tRNAs cope with the degeneracy of the genetic code in two manners: having more than one tRNA (with a specific anti-codon) for a particular amino acid; and 'wobble' base-pairing, i.e. permitting non-standard base-pairing at the 3rd anti-codon position. The record is from Rfam. NCBI's taxonomy places the organism in Eukaryota, Metazoa, Chordata, Mammalia, Carnivora, Felidae.